RNAcentral lists this small nucleolar RNA (217 nucleotides) under Amphiprion percula (orange clownfish). RNAcentral describes it as "Small nucleolar RNA U3 (ENSAPEG00000005171.1)". It matches the Rfam family "Small nucleolar RNA U3". From Rfam's summary of the family: Small nucleolar RNAs (snoRNAs) are involved in the processing and modification of rRNA in the nucleolus. There are two main classes of snoRNAs: the box C/D class, and the box H/ACA class. U3 snoRNA is a member of the box C/D class. The record is from Rfam by way of RNAcentral. Lineage: Eukaryota; Metazoa; Chordata; Actinopteri; Pomacentridae.
AAGACUAUACUUUCAGCGGAUCAUUUCUAUAGUUCUGACUUGAGAAAGUGUUUCUAGAGUGUAUGGUCUCGCCAACCACAAUGAUGAGUUGUGAUAUUCUCUUGUGAGUAUGAAUCUGAUGGAGAACCUUGUUUAUGUAUAUAUGUUCUCCUGUCGUUGAAUGAUUGUUCUUUGCUUUCUGGGGGAGCAAUGAAGAAAGGAAUAUGUUCAGAGUCGU